UCCCGGGUCGUCUAGAGGCAGGACAGCACCCUUUGAAGGUGUGUACGGAGGUUCGAAUCCUCCCCCGGGAG
This 71-nucleotide transfer RNA is filed under the name Actinomycetota bacterium. Its description in RNAcentral is "tRNA-Gln". It matches the Rfam family "tRNA". Rfam says of the family: Transfer RNA (tRNA) molecules are approximately 80 nucleotides in length. Their secondary structure includes four short double-helical elements and three loops (D, anti-codon, and T loops). Lineage: Bacteria; Bacillati; Actinomycetota. The record is from RNAcentral.